Molecule: ribosomal RNA, 521 nt
Filed under: Dicronychus rubripes
Lineage: Eukaryota; Metazoa; Arthropoda; Insecta; Coleoptera; Elateridae
Description: partial 16S ribosomal RNA
Rfam family: Archaeal large subunit ribosomal RNA
Source: RNAcentral
CAUGUCCUUUUGAUAAUAAUUUAAGGUUUAAUCUGCUCAAUGAAGUUUUAAAUAGCCGCGGUAUUUUGACCGUGCAAAGGUAGCAUAAUAAUUAGUUUCUUUAUUGGGAGCUUGUAUGAAUGAUUGGACGAGAAAAAGACUGUCUCUUUCUUAUUAAUUGAAAUUAACUUUUGAGUGAGAAGGCUUAAAUAUAAGUUAAAGACGAGAAGACCCUAUAGAGUUUAAUUUUGCUUUAUUUAUAAUUUAAUUAGUAUUUUUAAUUUGUAUUUAUUUCUUAAUUUGAUUGGGGUGAUUUUUGGAUUUAGAAAACUCCUAUAGCUUAUAAUCAUUAAUUUAUGAAUUUUGAUUCUAGAAUUAUUUAAUUUUAAAAUAAAUUACCUUAGGGAUAACAGCGUAAUUUUACUUUAGAGUUCAUAUUGAAAGUAGAGUUUGCGACCUCGAUGUUGGAUUAAAAUAAAUUGCUGGCGCAGAAGCUGGUAAAUUGAGUCUGUUCGACUUUUAAAAUUUUACAUGAUCUGAGU